RNAcentral lists this ribosomal RNA (415 nucleotides) under uncultured Amaricoccus sp. Its description in RNAcentral is "bacterial SSU rRNA". It matches the Rfam family "Bacterial small subunit ribosomal RNA", at positions 358 to 790 of the family's 1533-position model. The record is from RNAcentral. Lineage: Bacteria; Pseudomonadati; Pseudomonadota; Alphaproteobacteria; Rhodobacterales; Paracoccaceae.
GGAAUCUUGGACAAUGGGGGAAACCCUGAUCCAGCCAUGCCGCGUGAUCGAUGAAGGCCUUAGGGUUGUAAAGAUCUUUCAGCGAGGAAGAUAAUGACGGUACUCGCAGAAGAAGCCCCGGCUAACUCCGUGCCAGCAGCCGCGGUAAUACGGAGGGGGCUAGCGUUGUUCGGAAUUACUGGGCGUAAAGCGCACGUAGGCGGAUUAGUAAGUUAGAGGUGAAAGCCCAGGGCUCAACCCUGGAACUGCCUUUAAUACUGCUAGUCUAGAGGUCGAGAGAGGUGAGUGGAAUUCCGAGUGUAGAGGUGAAAUUCGUAGAUAUUCGGAGGAACACCAGUGGCGAAGGCGGCUCACUGGCUCGAUACUGACGCUGAGGUGCGAAAGCGUGGGGAGCAAACAGGAUUAGAUACCCUUG